Molecule: transfer RNA, 86 nt
Filed under: Pseudoxanthomonas mexicana
Lineage: Bacteria; Pseudomonadati; Pseudomonadota; Gammaproteobacteria; Lysobacterales; Lysobacteraceae
Also listed under: 4 other names
Description: tRNA-Leu
Rfam family: tRNA
About the family: Transfer RNA (tRNA) molecules are approximately 80 nucleotides in length. Their secondary structure includes four short double-helical elements and three loops (D, anti-codon, and T loops).
Source: RNAcentral
GCCGGAGUGGCGGAACGGUAGACGCAGCGGACUCAAAAUCCGCCGCCCUUAAAAGCGUGUGGGUUCGAGUCCCACCUCCGGCACCA